GGUAACACUGAAUGGAGGACCGAACCGACUUACGUUGAAAAGUGAGCGGAUGAACUGAGGGUAGCGGAGAAAUUCCAAUCGAACCUGGAGAUAGCUGGUUCUCUCCGAAAUAGCUUUAGGGCUAGCCUCAAGUGAUGAUUAUUGGAGGUAGAGCACUGUUUGGACGAGGGGCCCCUCUCGGGUUACCGAAUUCAGACAAACUCCGAAUGCCAAUUAAUUUAACUUGGGAGUCAGAACAUGGGUGAUAAGGUCCGUGUUCGAAAGGGAAACAGCCCAGACCACCAGCUAAGGUCCCAAAAUAUAUGUUAAGUGGAAAAGGAUGUGGCGUUGCCCAGACAACUAGGAUGUUGGCUUAGAAGCAGCCAUCAUUUAAAGAGUGCGUAAUAGCUCACUAGUCGAGUGACACUGCGCCGAAAAUGUACCGGGGCUAAACAUAUUACCGAAGCUGUGGAUUGUCCUUUGGACAAUGGUA
RNAcentral lists this ribosomal RNA (472 nucleotides) under Staphylococcus aureus. Its description in RNAcentral is "partial 23S ribosomal RNA". It matches the Rfam family "Bacterial large subunit ribosomal RNA", at positions 755 to 1230 of the family's 2925-position model. Lineage: Bacteria; Bacillati; Bacillota; Bacilli; Caryophanales; Staphylococcaceae. The record is from RNAcentral.